UACGUAGGGGGCGAGCGUUGUCCGGAAUUACUGGGCGUAAAGGGUGCGUAGGUGGCCUUUUAAGUUGGAUGUGAAAUACCCGGGCUUAACUUGGGGGGUGCAUCUAAUACUGGAGGGCUAGAGUGCAGGAGAGGAAAGCGGAAUUCCUAGUGUAGCGGUGAAAUGCGUAGAUAUUAGGAGGAACACCAGUGGCGAAGGCGGCUUUCUGGACUGUAACUGACACUGAGGCACGAAAGCGUGGGGAGCAAACAGGAUUAGAAACCCUGGUAGUCC
This 273-nucleotide ribosomal RNA is filed under the name uncultured prokaryote. RNAcentral's name for it is "partial 16S ribosomal RNA". It matches the Rfam family "Bacterial small subunit ribosomal RNA", at positions 524 to 796 of the family's 1533-position model. The record is from RNAcentral.